UUCCCAAAGCUGAAGGCCCUGCUGUGGAGUGGCUGCAGCAGUGUUAAAGACGGAAACGUUGCUGUGUUUCAGUUUUAGGCAAUCUUCUGCUUUCUAUUUCCACUAUCACAAAGCAUUUUGCAUUCACAAAACAUCUUUUCCUUUUUAAAAGCUGCAAGUAGGCUUCUUGGAUGAGGAAAGAAUCAUUUUGUAUUAGUAGGAACCACAAACGCAAUUGCUGGAAAAAUCAAUGUAGCCUUUGCUUUGGAGCACCUGGUGCCACACUAUGCAUGUUACCUACAUACAUGUGCAGAUGAAGUAGAAAAAUGAGCAGCCUAAGACAGGCUCUUUUUGUUCAAUAGUUGCAGGCAGAGGAAUGAUCACAGAUGGAAAAAAAUCACCCUGCUCAGCUGUAGAGUCAGGCUGCAAUGUGAAAAUGUAAGCAUGAAUCAGAAGGUACCAUCAGCAGGCAGGAGCAUCUCUCCUCCUCUGUGGAGGACUCAGGUGUAGGCACGCUGCUAAUGGAAGGGCUCUUUCCCUGAUGGUUUCUGCAGUGACACCUUUCCUUCUGGGAAGCACCUGGGGCUUCUCUGUGCCUGCAUGCAAACCCUGCUGCCUCAGGAAGAGGAGGUCUGCUCUUCCUCCCCAGCUGCCUCUCCCCGGAGGGGUUUCCCCACCAUGAUCUCAUGGAGCAAUAAUGGGAAAAGUCAUCAGAGAUGUGAAACUGCUCAUGAGUUGUGGUUGCAGAAAAGGGAAAAAUGCUCAAGUGAAAGACUCGGAUCAGAGCCAGAUGAAGACUUUGGGAAGAGAGUGUGGGUUCCCUGUGCAGAGUCCAGUGACGAAAUCUGUGAACAAGGUAAGAGCAAGGGGUUGUGGCUGUGAAGGGUUUUCUUGCUUCCUUUUCCCCUUCCAAACCCGUUAUCGAAGCGUUAGACAUGAAAUGUAGGAUGUGUGUAGCACAGGAACUGAUAUUCCAAGUGCUAAGUGAAAGAGCCUAAAAAGAUCAAGCUAAAUAGGGCUUCUUUUUAAUGCAUUCCAUUAUGGUGGUUUGGGUUUUAGAACAGUUUGUAUUGUAUCCAAAUGAUCUACAUGUGAAUAAUUGUUACCAGCCUCCUGACACCAGGACCUAAUUAGGAAGUAAGAGCCUUAAAUAGGCCAUUUGCA
This 1143-nucleotide long non-coding RNA is filed under the name Anser cygnoides (Swan goose). Its description in RNAcentral is "lncRNA (ENSACDG00005011713.1)". Lineage: Eukaryota; Metazoa; Chordata; Aves; Anseriformes; Anatidae. The record is from RNAcentral.